Molecule: long non-coding RNA, 1589 nt
Organism: Oryza sativa Japonica Group (Japanese rice)
Lineage: Eukaryota; Viridiplantae; Streptophyta; Magnoliopsida; Poales; Poaceae
Source: RefSeq, a predicted model, not a curated record
UCCAUCAAGGAAUAUUUGAGCCUCCAUCGUCGUCCACGGCCACUGCUCAACCACCAGUCGCCACCGCCGCCAUCCACUUCCAAUGUGCUUCCACCGCCUGCCGUUGUCCACAUCUAUCACUAUGCCCUCAACGACAUCCAUUCAAUCCAAGGAGAUCACCCUCUGCCCAGACCCGAAGACGACCAGCUGCUGCGGAGCUCUUGAAUCAUGGAUUGGAUAGUGGAGUGAGUGAACCUGCCGGCUACGGGGAGCUCGCCGGACCAGGUAGAAGAUGAUGAAAUUGAAGUGUUGUCAAGUUUCUCCGAGGUGUUUGUUUUUCCGAUGGUUAAAGUGUAGUACAAAGUGUGCAAAUAAAAUCAAUGUUUUCAACUCAUUCAUUAAGUAUCCAUGACUACAAAUUAUUAGGACUUGAUCUAGCCUGAGAUAGCCAAGGAUCGAUUCAUUUUUUUUCUUUUCAAGCUGUGCUAAUGUAUGUAUGUUCAGAAUUACAUACCAUUUGGGUUCACAUGUUCAGAAUUAUCUAAUCUAUGUGUCACUAGAGUAACAGGACUGACAUUCAUUUAUCACUUCUCCUGUAGUAUAUUUGCUGUAAAUAUAUGAAACUUGACACAAAUCUCACAUCUUAAUAGCUCAAAAUAUAUGUAACAGUACUCAAAUAAACUUUUCCUGGAGUUUUCUAUUGUGCUUUAUGUAUUAUAGUUUUCAGAUAUUCAGAACCUAUUUUAUACUGUUCAUUACUGAUAAUAUGGGAAGCAUUGGUAAGAUGUACAGGAAUGAUGAUUGUAGAUAUACAGACGGUACAACAAAUUUGUCUAUUACCAAUAACAUGCAAUUUGAUGAUUUUGUGCAGUCCUUGAUUAAUGACAUCUUGAAGUACAUGAACAGUUAGUACUCCACUAGACCUUGAAUUAUGUCUCCUCUUUUAUGGAUAUACUUUCUUUCAUUUUAGGUAAGUAUCAUUUUAUUUAGAGUUUGAUUUGGAAAAAUUGGAGUAAUAACUCUUCCUGAUUAGAGCUAAAUUUUGUACAAAAUCUUUGAGUAGCAGAAUUGUUCUGACCUAAAAUGGAGUCCUAACAUGAUAUCAGUGAGAGUUACAAAUUGUUUGUAAUGUCUGAGUACGAGGACCGUUCUAAUUUGGCAACUUUAAUCAGGCAGUGUGAAUUAUGCAUUUCUUGUGUUCAUGAACAAUAUUUGUUUGAGAAGUGAAAGAUCGGAGGUAUGUUUUGUCGUGGUGGAUGAACAGAAAGCCCGGUGAGGAUGGCAAACAUGGAGUGAAGAGGGUAUGGUGUAUGCUGUGGCCCGAAGAAGGGCCUCCUAUGAUGGAAAUUGUGAGCAAGGCUGGCCCUCGAAUCCUUUUUUUUCCCCUGAUGAAUAUGUAAUUUCGAUAUGCUGUUGGAAUCGGUUGAAAUCUAUUUGUAACUCCACUGUCUCAUUUCCGCAUCAUAUAUGUAUCCAUUGCUGAAAGAGGUGUAAAGAGGUAAAUAGAUAGCGUGUACCCGAGCGGACUAUGCAUCAUUGGAUUGUAUCUAUGUUUCUGAUGGUCUUGUGGGUUUGAGGCCUUGAGCUUGAGAAUGUAUUUUUUUUCUUUA